GGGCACAAGAGAGCCAGACAGUCUACGGAGGCUGCAAGAACCUAUUGCAGAUCUGUGCCAGGGGUGAGUGGAUUAAUGCAGCUGCUUACAGUUCUUAGAAAAGUUAGUGUACAAUAAUAUUUUACAAGACAUAUGUAGGUAUGGUAAUUGAGGCUCUUUUUGUGUGGUUGCAACAUUCUGGUUCAGAUGAGGAAAAAUGUUUUUGCAUUGUGAGGUAAACCUGUUUUUAUUUCCAUCAGGUGCCGGCUAUCAUUGGUGAGGAUGCGUCCUCUAUUGGGAGACAUGUGAACAUCCUGCGUGUCCAGUAUGAGAGAAUGCAACCAGACACCUCUAUUGUUAAAGACUGCAUGCAGCGAACAUUUGCGUGGCGGCGAAGAGAGAUAGCAGAUGGAAUGACUGUGGAGGAUAUACUCAAGAAAUACCCUUUCUUAAGAACACCCUCAGGGUUGUACGAUGAGGUUGACAGGAUCCAUCCAUCAUCUGUCAACUUAUGCCGGUGAUGGAAAGAGGGCUUCACAAGUGUUGUGCUGAAGGUGCUCAAGCUUGCUCAGGGAAAAACCCCACUGGCCAAAAUCUACGUUGAAGGAAGAGAGGAAAUGCUGGUCGAGGAUCUACAAGGUAUUGUUACUUUUGUGUGUGUAGUGAAUAAUCAUCAUCAGAAAGUUGAUAUGGGCAGUACUUUAUUUUAAGUGCUUCUGUAGAAAAUGUGUCAUCAUGUCAGAGUGUUGUUGGAAAGUUUAUGGGGGUGGCUGUCUUUAAAAUAAAUUAAUAAGUAAUAUCGUUGCUCCACAAAUUUAAGUGCCAAGUACUUUGUGACAAAUAAAUAACUGAACGAUACAGUGUACAGACCACAACUGAAUAGCUUCCCAUUCUAACAACUAACAAAAUAAAUCCAGUGAAGAACAGAAAUUAGGCCCCUUUUUCUGAGAGAGCUGUUGCCUGUUGACCAUUCAGUGUUAAUUCAGUUCAAGAAUUAACAUUAAAGUUAUCCACUCCAGUUAAUAUUGACUAGCAGCUAUGUACUGCGUGCUAAGCUCCACAGCCCAGCUCUGAGUGUGCAAGGACAGGAGUGCUGUUCAGACAGGUCCACCUGAGGGCCGGUCAAGGAGGGGCUGAGCGCUGCUCUACAAAGAAAUAAGAAUUUACCCAAUAUAAAUAGUAAAAAAGAAAAUCUAUAUGUGUCAGUCAAGGUUUAUAUUGUUGUGGGCCGCCACAAAUAAAUCAAUGCUUGGGAAACAUUGAAAUUAGUGGGGAGGGCAAAAAACUGUUUUUGGUAACAUCAUAGUAACUAACUGGGUGUUCAUUAAACUUGUGCAUUCAAUUUACUGAAAUGUCAACAUGAUGCUGAAGAGAUUUCCAUCUGCUCUGUGUUCACCUAUUAAGGCAGUCAACUGGGUCUUAAA
RNAcentral lists this long non-coding RNA (1403 nucleotides) under Dicentrarchus labrax (European seabass). Its description in RNAcentral is "lncRNA (ENSDLAG00005029909.1)". Lineage: Eukaryota; Metazoa; Chordata; Actinopteri; Moronidae. The record is from RNAcentral.